This 323-nucleotide unclassified non-coding RNA is filed under the name plant metagenome. Its description in RNAcentral is "partial contains 5.8S ribosomal RNA, internal transcribed spacer 2, and large subunit ribosomal RNA". The stretch from base 1 to 106 matches the Rfam family "5.8S ribosomal RNA", at positions 49 to 154 of the family's 154-position model. The record is from RNAcentral.
CGAAAUGCGAUAAGUAAUGUGAAUUGCAGAAUUCAGUGAACCAUCGAAUCUUUGAACGCAUAUUGCGCCCCCUGGUAUUCCGGGGGGCACGCCUGUCCGAGCGUCAUCCCCCAGUCUUCGGGCCCCAUGGCCCGGUUCUGGUGCCCCACGUUGAGGUGUACCUCCGACGUGGCCCCCAAAUCCAACAGUGGCGGGGUCCCCCAGCCCGAGCGAACAAGGGAUCGUCCCCGCCGAGCUGGGCGACUCCAAGCCCCUUGAACUCCCCCGUCGCAUCGCGCGCCCCUUGACCUCGGAUCAGGCGGGAUUACCCGCUGAACUUAAGC